RNAcentral lists this ribosomal RNA (453 nucleotides) under uncultured bacterium. RNAcentral describes it as "partial 16S ribosomal RNA". It matches the Rfam family "Bacterial small subunit ribosomal RNA", at positions 28 to 523 of the family's 1533-position model. The record is from RNAcentral.
GAUGAACGCUGGCGGCGUGCCUAACACAUGCAAGUCGAGCGGUAACACUUCGGGUGACGAGCGGCGGACGGGUGAGUAACGCGUGGGAAUCUACCCCAAACUGAGGGAUAAGCACCGGAAACGGUGUCUAAUACCGCAUAUGGUCUUCGGAUUAAAGCUUCGGCGGUUUGGGAAGAGCCCGCGUAAGAUUAGCUAGUUGGUAAGGUAAUGGCUUACCAAGGCGACGAUCUUUAGCUGGUUUGAGAGGAUGAUCAGCCACACUGGAACUGAGACACGGUCCAGACUCCUACGGGAGGCAGCAGUGAGGAAUUUUCCACAAUGGGGGCAACCCUGAUGGAGCAACGCCGCGUGCAGGAUGAAGGUUUUCGGAUUGUAAACUGCUUUUCUACGUGACGAAUAUGACGGUAGCGUACGAAUAAGGAUCGGCUAACUCCGUGCCAGCCGCCGCGGUAA